This is a long non-coding RNA of Pongo pygmaeus (Bornean orangutan), 825 nucleotides long. RefSeq lists it as uncharacterized. Lineage: Eukaryota; Metazoa; Chordata; Mammalia; Primates; Hominidae. The transcript has 2 exons. The record is from RefSeq and is a predicted model, not a curated record.
GUCGGCCGGGACGCCCUCGCAGCCGGCCAGGAAGCGGUUCACCUCCGCCAGACAUUCGUGGAAGCCGGCGCGGUACUUGCCCAGGACGGCGGGGUCGGCGCUGAGCGCGGCUGCGGGAGCGACACAGGAGGAGAGGAAAGGCGGCCAACCCAGUGUCUCCGAUGACAUGUUUCCGGGUCGUCAUCCACUGGCCACAGGGAAUCACAGGCUCGGUGUGACUUUCUCAGACCGCCAUGGUGCCCCUGUGGGGUUUCCCAGCCCAUCCUGUCCCGUGGGGCAGGCGGAGGCCCAGCCGUGUCAUCGGAGUGACCUUCAAGCUCUAACCAAAGUCCACGUGUCAUCAGGAGCCAUGAGUCAAUCAGAUGCCAUCCAGGGCAGUGGCUGAGGAGUGGUGACUGGCCAGAUGGGGAGGCGGGGAAAGGUCUGGAUUUGAAUGAGAGCGAAGGAGUGGGCUGCAGGCUGGUAGACUCCUCCAGAUGGAUGAGUCCAGACCCCUGCAACAGCCAACCUGAGCAAGGCUCAAGCCUCCCUGAGAGUCCAGGGCGCCAAGUCACCCUGCACCUGGCCCAGGCCUCGGACCCUGAUGGGGCCCACCCACCUGAGAUCACCCUGGCUCUUCGGGAAGGCAGGAAGCUUUGGCGUGAUCCUCCACGGGUGAGGGUCACGUAGAGACGUGUAGAGACGCGACGAAGCACGAAGACCCGUGUUUGACGGGUUACCAGGUGCCUACAUCAGAGCUCAUUAAAUUACACAUUAAAUAGAUGCAGCUUGUGUGUGUCAAUCACACCUAGUUCAAGUUGUAAUAAAUCAGACUCAGAGUUUUUA